GGACAACAGAGGCUAUUGUUGUGUAGGAUAAACUCUUCUCCUCAGAGGCAAGACGUGAGAAGAGAGAUGGGGGUUUCCUCUGUGCUUCUCUGCCAGGGCUGUGCCCCAUGGCAGGGGAUUCUGCUCACAGUCUUCCUUUGGAACUGCGGGCACCUUGUUGCCUCUGGCCGACCCAGUAUUGAAACACUGCCACCGAUUGUUCAAGAUGGGAAGGAUGUUGUUCUACAGGUUCGCAAUCUCCCAGAGAAUCUUCUAGGCUUUGCAUGGUUCAAAGGGAUGACCCAGGCCACAACACAUCUAAUUGGUCGAUACAUAAUAGAAGAAAAUCCAAGUUUUUCAUUUGGACCUGCAAGCAGUGGUAGAGAGAAAUUGUAUACU
RNAcentral lists this long non-coding RNA (378 nucleotides) under Rattus norvegicus (Norway rat). RNAcentral's name for it is "long non-coding RNA NONRATT000405". The record is from RNAcentral. Lineage: Eukaryota; Metazoa; Chordata; Mammalia; Rodentia; Muridae.